Takifugu rubripes (torafugu) is the source of this 2417-nucleotide long non-coding RNA. Lineage: Eukaryota; Metazoa; Chordata; Actinopteri; Tetraodontiformes; Tetraodontidae. The record is from Ensembl.
GCUGUAGAAGAUGGGGUGCUGCUGUAGUAAGACUGACGAGUGGAGAGACAGCGACAGCGACAGCGAAAGCAUCAGCGGCAUCGACAGUGACAUCAGCAGUCUGUCAGACAUCCUGCACUACAGUGGAUGGAGGACGGUGAUGGUGGAGCACAGGCAGCACACCACCGCAGGAACCCAGCAGGCAUGGUUGGAUGCAGAGCUUAAAGGAGACAGCAGGUGUAAGGAGGAACCUGAGGUUAUUAGGAACCCAACACGUGUCGGGCCCACCCUUGAAUCAGAUCCCUGUGUGGCGCUGGACAGACUGAGCACAGGCGGAGAGGAAAACACUCCAGAUGGGUCAAACAGCUUCUACAGCAUCCGUCCCAUUGAUGCUGAUGACCUUGAGCAGGAGCAGAACCAGUGGGCAACAGAUGAGCCUGGUCCAUCCACUGUGCUGCAAACCGAGUUACUAACACCUCCUCCUGAAACAGACACUGGAUUAUUCCAAACACUUCCUCCUGGACCAGACCCCGAUUUAUUCCCAACACCUCCUCCUGGACCAGACCCUGAUUUAUUCCCAACACCUCCUCCUGGACCAGUCUCUGGAUUAUUCUCAACACCUCCUGAAUUGUCUUUACUGAGUGAGGUCGAUGUGCGUGUGACCACAAUAUCCUCACCGGAUACUGUUUCCUCCCAUCACACCGAUGUCACGACCUCGUCUCUCAACAAUCCAGGAAAAUUGUACGGUCCAGAAACUCACCGUAGAUCCCCCAAAUCCCACUUUGAGUGGCAGGAAAAUGCGGAGCUCAAACGUUCGUGGCUUCCAGCGAAUUCACGCAUCCGGAAAAUCCCGAGCCGAGAAGAGGGCGAUGAUCCCUCUGUCUCAAUUUGUUUUUACAGUGCACCUGAAGACCUGGCCCCCCCGAGACCUGAGCGUCAGGAUGUUGCCAUACAAACUUUGCCCCCUGGUGCUUGUGGAGAUGCUUCCACUCCACCCAAGAUUGAGUCCGUCUGUCUGGUGAUGGCUGAAGGGGGCAACAGUGGGGACAAGACGAAGGGAAUGGUGUGGUCCCAGGGAACACCCCAGGCUGAGUCCCCACAGACAGGCAGAGGUGUGGACAUCCCAGGGCCAGUGUCGGAGCUCCAGCCCUCCAAGGUUCCCAGAGACUGCCCACAGCCUAAAACUUUGCCAGGACUGUCAGCCAAACCUCCCAGACUACAAAGGUAUUCUAGCCAUCGUUUAAUGUUUGUGAAGAUGCUUUUAAUUCCCUUCCCGGGAAUUCAGAUUAUUUAUGGGGACCAGAGCAGUUGUGACUUCUCCUUUCUGCAGGAGAGGACGCGUCAGCAUGGGGAGAAGAUACCAACAGAGGGAAGCAGACAAGACAAAGGAGCUGGUAAGCAACUGCUGGUUUUGCCUUGUGGACACACCAGUGCUCAGUUUCCACAUUGACCCAGUGCUGCUUUAUAGGACGCAGAGAGGAAGCCGUCACCUCUUCCUGAGAUCGGGGAGGCCAACUUCCCUUCUCUUUCUGCUGUGAAUGUUUCCACAGCAACCGUACCUGCAACUGAGAACAAGGUACAUUUACUAAUAAUGUCAGAAACACUCACUGUCAGACGCAACCUUGUUUUAUUUGAGUCGUCCUGAACUGGUUGAACAGAGUCUUCUCAAAGCCAGCAAGCCGGGUUAUUCAGGGUCCGUGAGGUCACAGAAUUGUCAGCCAAUAUUAAUCUGGUUUUACCAGAGCUGUUGCAGCGAUGCUCAUGUUGGAAACGAAAUCCUUCUGCUCUGACUGUUCAGGUGGGCUCCAAACUGACAUAUGCACAGGUCUGUCGGAUGCCCCCACGUGAGCGUGCCCCAUUCCCAGACCUUAGCCCACCCCACCCAGACCUUAGCCCACCCUACCCGGACCUUCGCCCACCCUACCCAGACCUUAGCCCACCCUACCCAGAACUUAGCCCACCCUACCCAGAACAAGAUCCCCAACCAGCUGGGACUCGCCAGCCAACUAAGUUGAGAUAUGCGUGGCUUUGAACAGACCACUAUGAAUAUUUCGUUUUCAGUCUUUACAAAAGAAGCUGAAGAGAAACUCUUUAAUUGCUGCUUUAGGGGAUUGUUUUCUUUGGUUUGUUGUUUAGGUUUGUUUUUUUGUUUUUUUAAAUCCAGGUUCUGUUCCCAGUUUGAUUGUUCCAGUCCGUCCAGAAUGUUCCAGUGUUUUUCUUUUAACACACCUGCAUAAUUGAUGCUUAUAAUUCUGAUUUCUUCUAUUAAAAAGCACUGAGCAAUAUGUCUCUUUGCAUCUUAUUUAUCUAAUGUUGGUACUGAGUUUGUUAGGCUUUUAUUUGAGUUCAUCAGGAGUGCUUUGGAUGUAGAAACUUAUGUUUGAGUAAAGAGGAUUUGUUGAUGUACCUCAUUCACAUUAUGUCCAGUGUGAAAUCAC